GGGGUGACUGCGUACCUUUUGUAUAAUGGGUCAGCGACUUAUAUUCUGUAGCAAGGUUAACCGAAUAGGGGAGCCGAAGGGAAACCGAGUCUUAACUGGGCGUUAAGUUGCAGGGUAUAGACCCGAAACCCGGUGAUCUAGCCAUGGGCAGGUUGAAGGUUGGGUAACACUAACUGGAGGACCGAACCGACUAAUGUUGAAAAAUUAGCGGAUGACCUGUGGCUGGGGGUGAAAGGCCAAUCAAACCGGGAGAUAGCUGGUUCUCCCCGAAAGCUAUUUAGGUAGCGCCUCGUGAACUCAUCUUCGGGGGUAGAGCACUGUUUCGGCUAGGGGGUCAUCCCGACUUACCAACCCGAUGCAAACUGCGAAUACCGAAGAAUGUUAUCACGGGAGACACACGGCGGGUGCUAACGUCCGUCGUGAAGAGGGAAACAACCCAGACCGCCAGCUAAGGUCCCAAAGUCAUGGUUAAGUGGGAAACGAUGUGGGAAGGCCCAGACAGCCAGGAUGUUGGCUUAGAAGCAGCCAUCAUUUAAAGAAAGCGUAAUAGCUCACUGGUCGAGUCGGCCUGCGCGGAAGAUGUAACGGGGCUAAACCAUGCACCGAAGCUGCGGCAGCGACGCUUAUGCGUUGUUGGGUAGGGGAGCGUUCUGUAAGCCGUCGAAGGUGUGCUGUGAGGCAUGCUGGAGGUAUCAGAAGUGCGAAUGCUGACAUAAGUAACGAUAAAGCGGGUGAAAAGCCCGCUCGCCGGAAGACCAAGGGUUCCUGUCCAACGUUAAUCGGGGCAGGGUGAGUCGACCCCUAAGGCGAGGCCGAAAGGCGUAGUCGAUGGGAAACAGGUUAAUAUUCCUGUACUUGGUGUUACUGCGAAGGGGGGACGGAGAAGGCUAUGUUAGCCGGGCGACGGUUGUCCCGGUUUAAGCAUGUAGGCGGAGGUUCCAGGUAAAUCCGGUACCUUUUAACGCUGAGGUGUGAUGACGAGGCACUACGGUGCUGAAGUAACAAAUGCCCUGCUUCCAGGAAAAGCCUCUAAGCAUCAGGUAACACGAAAUCGUACCCCAAACCGACACAGGUGGUCAGGUAGAGAAUACCAAGGCGCUUGAGAGAACUCGGGUGAAGGAACUAGGCAAAAUGGUGCCGUAACUUCGGGAGAAGGCACGCUGACAUGUAGGUGAAGCCCCUGCGGGUGGAGCUGAAGUCAGUCGAAGAUACCAGCUGGCUGCAACUGUUUAUUAAAAACACAGCACUGUGCAAACACGAAAGUGGACGUAUACGGUGUGACGCCUGCCCGGUGCCGGAAGGUUAAUUGAUGGGGUUAUCCGUAAGGAGAAGCUCUUGAUCGAAGCCCCGGUAAACGGCGGCCGUAACUAUAACGGUCCUAAGGUAGCGAAAUUCCUUGUCGGGU
RNAcentral lists this ribosomal RNA (1405 nucleotides) under human gut metagenome. RNAcentral's name for it is "bacterial LSU rRNA". It matches the Rfam family "Bacterial large subunit ribosomal RNA", at positions 590 to 1977 of the family's 2925-position model. The record is from RNAcentral.